RNAcentral lists this unclassified non-coding RNA (752 nucleotides) under Hevea brasiliensis (rubber tree). The record is from RNAcentral. Lineage: Eukaryota; Viridiplantae; Streptophyta; Magnoliopsida; Malpighiales; Euphorbiaceae.
CACAAUAAUUUGCUCAAUAUAUAGAGGUCAAUUAAUUUUCUAUUAAUAAAAAUACAUUCUCCAUUUAAAAAGAAGGUUCAAUACUUAAAUUAAUAAAGGGUUAAUUUAAAUAAAUAUAUAAAUACAUAAGAGUACUCUAUUAAAAAAGAGGGGUCAAUGGACCCGCCACUGAUGAUCAGCCCUAAACACACAUGUUAGCUGCUAUAUAAAAAAUCCUACAAAAUAUUUGGUUCCGAGCAACUUCUCAAAGAGAACAGUGAAGCGCGCCAGAGACUUUUGCUGCACUGAAUGACCAACACAGAGGUGUUGUGCUACAUGCCUCCAAACCUAAAUCCACAUCCUGUUUUAACGAUGUUAUGAAAUUAUAUUUCAAUAACUCUUAGCUAAUAGCACCAUUUCAUUGGAUAAGUUCUCAACAAUUUCCUAGACCUACCGAUUGGAAUUAUCUAUGUAUAUGCAAUAUAUAUCCUUCAUUAAUGUAUGAUUUAUAAACUGCUUAUUUGCAAAAUAAGCAUUACAUCAGAUACUCAGAUACAUAAGCUUAACAUAUAAUUAACAGUAUUAAAAAAAAUUCAACAGAUAUUUCAUUUCAGUAACAAAUUACAGGAAAAUAAAAAUCUACAGGUAUGAUUCGAAUUCCAAAUUAACAAUCUCAUAAUCAGAUGCAGAUGUUUGAUAUGUAUGUAAAUGUUUAUAUACAUACAGUUUGAGUUCUCUGUAUAAUAACUGCCUUAUCACCAGAUUCAUGCGCG